UGCUUUAGACUGAGGGAAAGCACACACCUGGGCUCAGGUUCCCACUCUGCCAUUCACUUGGAGCAAGACUUAGCUCCAGUGGACUGCAGUUUGGCUUCCAUCCCAAGAGAGAAAAACAUCUCCUCAGAUUUUCCACACGCCCGCCCCAUCCCGCUGGCCCAAUGCCAAACCUUCCCAGGCAGCCUGGGGCAGGGCUGCUGCUCUGGAGAAAGAUGGAGGUAUUUUAAAUGAAGAAGACAAACCUAACUUUCAACGAACUAGGAGGGGAAAAAAUCCUAGAAUCGAAUUCCUCUUUGCUCUGGAAAACAAAUCGCCUCCCUUUGGGUUUUAGAAGGACCAUCUGGCAAGUGAAUUGGCCUCUCCGCUUUCCAUCGAAGGAGCCAGGAGAAACGCUGUCUGCACGCCCCUGGCCUGGCCUUGGAGGAGUGCUUUUGAUCUGAUGGCCUUGCAGGAGGCAUGCCACCUACCUCUGCUGCCUUUCUGUUUGAAGGGCUGUGAGUUUCCCUUUCUGUCCUCCAGGAAGAAUUUAUGAUUUCCUCUCUGUCCUCUUAGUCCCUGAAUGCAAGAGAUAGCUCCCCUCACUCACUGCAGAUGCUGCGGGGUAUCAUUUAAAGUCUGCUGACAUGGUGGGUGAGAGGAGAGCAAUGUGGCCAACAUGGGAUCCUGUCCUCUGGGUCCCCUCUCCGCUGGCAGAGGGGGCUUUCUCCACUGAUAAAUACAAUAAUAAUAAAAACAGUGUUUGUAAUUUGCAAGGAAUGCUAUGCUUUUCUUUCUUAAAAAAUUCUUUUUCCUUUUGAAAAUUGUAAUGCACUUGCACUAUGGGAAGUAUAGAUCAGCAAAAUGGG
Molecule: long non-coding RNA, 845 nt
Filed under: Equus asinus (donkey)
Lineage: Eukaryota; Metazoa; Chordata; Mammalia; Perissodactyla; Equidae
Description: lncRNA (ENSEASG00005032715.1)
Source: RNAcentral